This 440-nucleotide ribosomal RNA is filed under the name uncultured bacterium. Its description in RNAcentral is "partial 16S ribosomal RNA". It matches the Rfam family "Bacterial small subunit ribosomal RNA", at positions 338 to 795 of the family's 1533-position model. The record is from RNAcentral.
CCUACGGGUGGCAGCAGUGGGGAAUAUUGCUCAAUGGGGGAAACCCUGAAGCAGCAACGCCGCGUGGAGGAUGAAGGUUUUCGGAUUGUAAACUCCUUUUGAUAGAGAAGAUAAUGACGGUAUCUAACGAAUAAGCAACGGCCAACUCCGUGACAGCAGCCGCGGUAAUACGGAGGGUGCAAGCGUUAUUCGGAAUUACUGGGGGUAAAGAGGACGUAGGCGGGAUAGCAAGUCAGAUGUGAAAUCCUAUGGCUUAACCAUAGAACUGCAUUUGAUACUGGUAUUCUAGAGUAUGGGAGAGGUAGGUGGAAUUCUUGGUGUAGGGGUGAAAUGCGUAGAGAUCAAGAGGAAUACUGAUUGCGAAGGCAGCCUGCUAGAACAUAACUGACGCUGAUGCGCGAAAGCGUGGGGAGCAAACAGGAUUAGAUACCCCUGUAGUC